Molecule: ribosomal RNA, 337 nt
Filed under: Bacillus subtilis
Lineage: Bacteria; Bacillati; Bacillota; Bacilli; Caryophanales; Bacillaceae
Description: bacterial SSU rRNA
Rfam family: Bacterial small subunit ribosomal RNA
Source: RNAcentral
CACGUGGGUAACCUGCCUGUAAGACUGGGAUAACUCCGGGAAACCGGGGCUAAUACCGGAUGGUUGUUUGAACCGCAUGGUUCAAACAUAAAAGGUGGCUUCGGCUACCACUUACAGAUGGACCCGCGGCGCAUUAGCUAGUUGGUGAGGUAACGGCUCACCAAGGCAACGAUGCGUAGCCGACCUGAGAGGGUGAUCGGCCACACUGGGACUGAAACACGGCCCAGACUCCUACGGGAGGCAGCAGUAGGGAAUCUUCCGCAAUGGACGAGAGUCUGACGGAGCAACGCCGCGUGAGUGAUGAAGGUUUUCGGAUCGUAAAGCUCUGUUGUUAGGG